This 450-nucleotide ribosomal RNA is filed under the name uncultured bacterium. RNAcentral describes it as "partial 16S ribosomal RNA". It matches the Rfam family "Bacterial small subunit ribosomal RNA", at positions 354 to 796 of the family's 1533-position model. The record is from RNAcentral.
GUGGGGAAUUUUGGACAAUGGGCGCAAGCCUGAUCCAGCAAUGCCGCGUGUGUGAAGAAGGCCUUCGGGUUGUAAAGCACUUUUGGCAGGAAAGAAAUAGUGCGUGCUAAUACCAUGCGCGAAUGACGGUACCUGCAGAAUAAGCACCGGCUAACUACGUGCCAGCAGCCGCGGUAAGACGUAGGGUGCAAGCGUUAAUCGGAAUUACUGGGCGUAAAGCGUGCGCAGGCGGUUUUGUAAGACAGGUGUGAAAUCCCCGGGCUCAACCUGGGAACUGCACUUGUGACUGCAAGGCUAGAGUGUGUCAGAGGGAGGUGGAAUUCCGCGUGUAGCAGUGAAAUGCGUAGAGAUGCGGAGGAACACCGAUGGCGAAGGCAGCCUCCUGGGAUAACACUGACGCUCAGGCACGAAAGCGUGGGGAGCAAACAGGAUUAGAAACCCGAGUAGUCC